Molecule: non-coding RNA, 98 nt
Organism: Mycena galericulata
Lineage: Eukaryota; Fungi; Basidiomycota; Agaricomycetes; Agaricales; Mycenaceae
Source: the annotation of a GenBank genome assembly
UCGGACGUGGUGCACGGUGCACACCCGCGCACUGUGAUAGCAUAAGCUUGACACAAAGUAGUAUGUGGGAGCCCUGGGUUCGACUCCUAGCGUCCGAA